CACGUAGGCACCAAGCGUUAUCCGGAUUUAUUGGGCGUAAAGAGCUCGUAGGCGGUUUGGUAAGUCGGGUGUGAAAACUCUGGGCUCAACCCAGAGAGGCCACUCGAUACUGCUAUGACUAGAGUACGGUAGGGGAGCGGGGAAUUCCUGGUGUAGCGGUGAAAUGCGCAGAUAUCAGGAGGAACACCAAUGGCGAAGGCAGAUCUCUGGGCCGUUACUGACGCUGAGGAGCGAAAGCAUGGGGAGCGAACAGG
This 254-nucleotide ribosomal RNA is filed under the name uncultured bacterium. Its description in RNAcentral is "partial 16S ribosomal RNA". It matches the Rfam family "Bacterial small subunit ribosomal RNA", at positions 524 to 776 of the family's 1533-position model. The record is from RNAcentral.